Molecule: ribosomal RNA, 292 nt
Filed under: uncultured bacterium
Lineage: Bacteria
Description: partial 16S ribosomal RNA
Rfam family: Bacterial small subunit ribosomal RNA
Source: RNAcentral
GUGUCAGCCGCCGCGGUAACACGUAGGAGGCAAGCGUUAUCCGGAUUUACUGGGUGUAAAGCGCGUGCAGGCGGUUCGGAAAGUUGGAUGUGAAAGCUCCUGGCUCAACUGGGAGAGGUCGUUCAAAACUACCGAACUGGAGGGCAGUAUAGGGAGAUGGAAUUCCCGGUGUAGUGGUGAAAUGCGUAGAUAUCGGGAGGAACACCAGUGGCGAAAGCGAUCUCCUGGACUGUCUCUGACGCUCAGACGCGAAAGCUAGGGUAGCAAACGGGAUUAGAAACCCGCGUAGUCC